CGCGCAGGCGGUUGUUUAAGUCGAAUGUGAAAGCCCCCGGCUCAACUGGGGAGGGUCAUUCGAUACUGAUCGACUUGAAGGCAGGAGAGGGUAGUGGAAUUCCCGGUGUAGUGGUGAAAUGCGUAGAUAUCGGGAGGAACACCAGUGGCGAAGGCGACUACCUGGCCUGUUCUUGACGCUGAGGCGCGAAAGCUGGGGGAGCAAACGG
This 208-nucleotide ribosomal RNA is filed under the name uncultured bacterium. Its description in RNAcentral is "partial 16S ribosomal RNA". It matches the Rfam family "Bacterial small subunit ribosomal RNA", at positions 568 to 775 of the family's 1533-position model. The record is from RNAcentral.